Molecule: long non-coding RNA, 1076 nt
Organism: Acanthopagrus latus (yellowfin seabream)
Lineage: Eukaryota; Metazoa; Chordata; Actinopteri; Spariformes; Sparidae
Exons: 4
Source: RefSeq, a predicted model, not a curated record
GCCGGAGAGCGAGUCACCGUAAUUAGUGAGGUUGGUUUCAUCCCGGCUGCCCACGUCAAUAGCUAUCACCACUUUGGCCCCCAUGGAGCGCGCCACAUCAGCUGGGAGAGGAGGAGGAGAUGGAAAACAAAAGACGUUGCUGAUGCUGGAGUUGAAAGCAGCACCGGAGAACAUGGAGGUGACUGGCUACGGUCCUCAGCAUAUAGUGCUCCCAUCAGGGAACCAAUGGAGGUGCCACCAAUUAGGUCCACUGGGAUGCCAGCCUCACAGAUAGCCCGCAUUAUCCCCACCUGGGAGCAGCCCCUGAACAAGAGGUGCAGGUCUAAGAGCUGUGUAAAUACGGUCAGGACUGCUGUGUCGUUGUGGUGUCAACUAUACAGUGACAGCCCGUAGCCAUAUCCCCCACACAGCCAUGAUUGAAAAAAACAGAGACAGAGCUGAGGCGGAAAAUACAGUGGAUGGUGCCUGCUCUGGCAUGUGACAGCUGGCCAGUCAGAGCAGACUGAGCUUUUUGGGAAGGGGAAGUUAAGCCUGAAACACACUGUGGCAACCACUGGCCAUCUGAAGCAUUAGGGGAGACGAGUUUGGGAACAAAUCUAAGACUAACGCCACCCAGUGUUAAGGAGACCUACUGCAUCUUGCACAAGCGCUGAACGUACACGCUACUGUGGAUUUGGCAGCCAUCGAAGUGGUAUGUUUAAUGCAACUUUUCUGCCGAACGGGUGGACAAGAGGCAAUGGAGUGGUCGGAUAUAAGCAGUUGGCCAUUGGUCUGGGCUGUGUGUGGGGGGCCUUUAAAGAGACAGACUAAAAUGGAGUAUUCAGAGAAAGACGACAUUGAGGCGCUGCAGUAAUGAACAGUACUACAAAAAUAAUGAUUUUUAACAUCAAAGCAUGUUAACAUUUUCAAGAAAACACCAAAUGUAAAAGUAUGAACCUGAAAAUUAGCAUAUCAUGGAGCUUUUAACCAAAAACACUACAAUAUUUUGGCAUAAUUUUAUCAUAUUCAGGUCCUAGAUUACAACACAUUAUAACGUGAAUUUAAGAAUAACAGUUUGGGGUGAAGACACUGGGGUG